CAGGCUUAACACAUGCAAGUCGAGCGGUAGCACAGGGGAGCUUGCUCCCUGGGUGACGAGCGGCGGACGGGUGAGUAAUGUCUGGGAAACUGCCUGAUGGAGGGGGAUAACUACUGGAAACGGUAGCUAAUACCGCAUAACGUCGCAAGACCAAAGAGGGGGACCUUCGGGCCUCUUGCCAUCAGAUGUGCCCAGAUGGGAUUAGCUAGUAGGUGGGGUAAUGGCUCACCUAGGCGACGAUCCCUAGCUGGUCUGAGAGGAUGACCAGCCACACUGGAACUGAGACACGGUCCAGACUCCUCCGGGAGGCAGCAGUGGGGAAUAUUGCACAAUGGGCGCAAGCCUGAUGCAGCCAUGCCGCGUGUGUGAAGAAGCCCUUCGGGUUGUAAAGCACUUUCAGCGAGGAGGAAGGUGGUGAGCUUAAUACGCUC
RNAcentral lists this ribosomal RNA (431 nucleotides) under uncultured bacterium. RNAcentral describes it as "bacterial SSU rRNA". It matches the Rfam family "Bacterial small subunit ribosomal RNA", at positions 43 to 470 of the family's 1533-position model. The record is from RNAcentral.